UACGAGGGGGGCAAGCGUUGUUCGGAAUUAUUGGGCGUAAAGGGUGCGUAGGCGGUUUUGUAAGUCUUGUGUGAAAUCUUCAGGCUCAACUUGAAGACUGCACGAGAAACUGCAGGGCUUGAGUGUGGGAGAGGUGAGUGGAAUUCCUGGUGUAGCGGUGGAAUGCGCAGAUAUCAGGAGGAACACCAAUAGCGAAGGCAGCUCGCUGGGACGGUACUGACGCUGAGGCGCGAAAGCGUGGGGAGCGAACAGG
RNAcentral lists this ribosomal RNA (253 nucleotides) under uncultured bacterium. Its description in RNAcentral is "partial 16S ribosomal RNA". It matches the Rfam family "Bacterial small subunit ribosomal RNA", at positions 524 to 776 of the family's 1533-position model. The record is from RNAcentral.